RNAcentral lists this ribosomal RNA (421 nucleotides) under uncultured bacterium. RNAcentral describes it as "bacterial SSU rRNA". It matches the Rfam family "Bacterial small subunit ribosomal RNA", at positions 954 to 1380 of the family's 1533-position model. The record is from RNAcentral.
GCAAAACGCGAAGAACCUUACCCACCUUUGACAUGUACGGAAUCCUUUAGAGAUAGAGGAGUGCUCGAAAGAGAGCCGUAACACAGGUGCUGCAUGGCUGUCGUCAGCUCGUGUCGUGAGAUGUUGGGUUAAGUCCCGCAACGAGCGCAACCCUUGCCAUUAGUUGCUACGAAAGGGCACUCUAAUGGGACUGCCGGUGACAAACCGGAGGAAGGUGGGGAUGACGUCAAGUCCUCAUGGCCCUUAUAGGUGGGGCUACACACGUCAUACAAUGGCUGGUACAAAGGGUUGCCAACCCGCGAGGGGAGCUAAUCCCAUAAAGCCAGUCGUAGUCCGGAUCGCAGUCUGCAACUCGACUGCGUGAAGUCGGAAUCGCUAGUAAUCGUGGAUCAGAAUGUCACGGUGAAUACGUUCCCGGGUC